RNAcentral lists this ribosomal RNA (775 nucleotides) under uncultured Neocallimastigales. RNAcentral's name for it is "partial large subunit ribosomal RNA". It matches the Rfam family "Eukaryotic large subunit ribosomal RNA", at positions 24 to 634 of the family's 3401-position model. The record is from RNAcentral. Lineage: Eukaryota; Fungi; Neocallimastigomycota; Neocallimastigomycetes; Neocallimastigales.
UUAUCUCUGUAGAGUCUGCAUAUCAAUAAGCGGAGGAAAAGAAACUAACAAGGAUUCCCUUAGUAACGGCGAGUGAAGCGGGAAGAGCUCAAAUUUGAAAUCUUCAAGGUUUUACCUUGACGAAUUGUAGUUUAAAGAAGUGUUUUCUGUUGAAGUUUUGGUAAAAGUUCUUUGGAAUAGGACAUCAUAGAGGGUGAGAAUCCCGUAUUUGACCAUUAUUUUCAGCUGUGUGAUACACUUUCAAAGAGUCGGAUUGUUUGGGAAUGCAGUCCAAAAUGGGUGGUAAAUUUCAUCUAAAGCUAAAUAUUGGCGAGAGACCGAUAGCGAACAAGUACCGUGAGGGAAAGAUGAAAAGAACUUUGAAAAGAGAGUUAAACAGUACGUGAAAUUGUCAAAAGGGAAGCGUUUGACACCAGUGUUGUUUUCUCGAAAAUCAAUUAAAAAAAGUUGGAUUUUGUAUUGUUAAGACCUUAUCAGCUUACUGUACUCUUUUCUUGCUUUUUUUAAUGCACUUUUCGCUUAACGAGUCAACAUCAAUUUCUUUUGUUGUAAAAGAGUCAUUGGAAGGUGGCUUUCACUUCGGUGAAAGUGUUUAUAGCCUUUGGCUUCUGCAAUCGGAGAGAUUGAGGUCUGCAGCGUAGAUCCUUCGGGGCUAGAUACGUAGAUGCUAAGUUAUAGUUUUUUAUAGACAACUUGUUGACUAUAAUUAAUCAUGUAGCUUACUCGUUUGCGCUAUUUUACCUACGCUUAGGAUGUUGAUCUGUAGUGCGUGCGC